CGUGCCAGCAGCCGCGGUAAUACGGAGGAUGCAAGCGUUAUCCGGAUUUAUUGGGUUUAAAGGGUGCGUAGGCGGAAAAUUAAGUCAGUGGUGAAAUCCUGCAGCUUAACUGUAGAAUUGUCAUUGAUACUGGUUUUCUUGAAUACAGUUGAGGUAGGCGGAAUGAGUUAUGUAGCGGUGAAAUGCUUAGAUAUUACUCAGAACACCAAUUGCGAAGGCAGCUUACUAAACUGUGAUUGACGCUGAGGCACGAAAGCGUGGGGAGCGAACAGGAUUAGAUACCCUGGUAGUCCACGCCGUAAACGAUGAUCACUCGUUGUUGGCAAUACACCGUCAGCGACUGAGCGAAAGUAUUAAGUGAUCCACCUGGGGAGUACGAUUGCAAGAUUGAAACUCAAAGGAAUUGACGGGGGCCCGCACAAGCGGAGGAACAUGUGGUUUAAUUCGAUGAUACGCGAGGAACCUUACCUGGGCUUAAAUGCAUAACGACGGAUCGGGAAACUGGUCUUUCUUCGGACGGAAUGCAAGGUGCUGCAUGGCUGUCGUCAGCUCGUGCCGUGAGGUGUCGGGUUAAGUCCCAUAACGAGCGCAACCCUCAUCAUUAGUUGCCAGCGGGUAAUGCCGGGGACUCUAAUGAAACUGCCGGUGUAAACCGAGAGGAAGGCGAGGAUGACGUCAAGUCAGCACGGCCCUUAUGUCCAGGGCUACACACGUGUUACAAUGGUCAGUACAAAGGGCAGCUACCAGGCAACUGGAUGCUAAUCUCAAAAGCUGGUCACAGUUCGGAUCGGAGUCUGCAACUCGACUUCG
Molecule: ribosomal RNA, 810 nt
Filed under: uncultured organism
Description: bacterial SSU rRNA
Rfam family: Bacterial small subunit ribosomal RNA
Source: RNAcentral